Molecule: ribosomal RNA, 463 nt
Filed under: uncultured bacterium
Lineage: Bacteria
Description: bacterial SSU rRNA
Rfam family: Bacterial small subunit ribosomal RNA
Source: RNAcentral
AAUCAACGCUGGCGGCGUGCCUCAGACAUGCAAGUCGAACGAUUAAGACUUCCUUCGGGAAGUGCAUAAAGUGGCGCACGGGUGAGUAACACGUAAGUAAUCUACCCUCGAGUGGGGAAUAACGUUCGGAAACGGACGCUAAUACCGCAUAACGCAGCGGCACCGCAAGGUGACAGUUGUUAAAGGAGCAAUCCGCUUGAGGAGGAGCUUGCGGCAGAUUAGCUAGUUGGUAAGGUAAUGGCUUACCAAGGCUACGAUCUGUAUCCGGUCUAAGAGGACGGUCGGACACACUGACACUGAAUAACGGGUCAGACUCCUACGGGAGGCAGCAGUCGGGAAUUUUGGGCAAUGGGCGAAAGCCUGACCCAGCAACGCCGCGUGAAGGAUGAAGUAUUUCGGUAUGUAAACUUCGAAAGAAUAGGAAGAAUAAAUGACGGUACUAUUUAUAAGGUCCGGCUAACUA